AGAGUUUGAUUCCUGACUCAGGACCAACGCUGGAGGCGUGCCUAAUACCUGCCCCUCUAACGCUUUUUCUUUCACCGGAGCUUGCUCCACCGAAACAAGAAGAGUGGCGAACGGGUGACUAACACGUGGGUAACCUGCCCAUCAGAAGGGGAUAACACUUGGAAACAGGUGCUAAUACCGUAUAACACUAUUUUCCGCAUGGAAUAAAGUUGAAAGGCGCUUUUGCGUCACUGAUGGAUGGACCCGCGGUGCAUUAGCUAGUUGGCGAGGUAACGGCUCACCAAGGCAACGAUGCAUAUCCGACCUGAUAGGGUGAUCGGCCACACUGGGACUGAAACACGGCCCACACUCCUACGGGAGGCACCAGUAGGGAAUCUUCCGCAAUGGACGAAAGUCUGACCGAGCAACGCCGCGUGAGUGAAGAAGGUUUUCGGAUCGUAAAACUCUGUUGUUAGAGAAAAACAAGGAUGAGAGUAAAAUGUUCAUCCCUUGACGGUACCUAACCAGAAGGCCACGGCUAACUACCUGCCAACAGCCGCGGUAAUACGUAUGUGGCAAGCGUUGUCCGGAUUUAUUGAGCGUAAAGCGAGCGCAGGCGGUUUCUUAAGUCUGAUGUGAAAGCCCCCGGCUCAUCCGGGGAGGGUCAUUGGAAACUGGGGGACUUGAGUGCAUAAGAGGAGAGUGGAAUUCCAUGUGUAGCGGUGAAAUGCGUAGAUAUAUGGAGGAACACCACUGGCGAAGGCGGCUCUCUGGUCUGUAUCUGACGCUGAGGCUUCAAGCUAGGGGAGAGAUCAGGAUUAGAUACCCUGGUACUCCACGCCUCUCUCGAUGAGUGAAAGUGUUGGAGGGUGCCAGCCCUUCGGUGCUGCCGCGGGAUCUCUCCCCAGACCUACAUGGGCAGUACGACCUCCAAUGUUGACACUCAAAUGCAGUGCACGGCUGUCGCACUAGCUGUGGCAGCAUGCUGCUUGAAUUCGAAGUCAGCGCGGACAUUCUCACAGGUACUGACAUCAUCUGACCACGCUGAAAGAUAUUGUCCUACUCCUACGAGCGGUCAUC
RNAcentral lists this ribosomal RNA (1059 nucleotides) under uncultured Enterococcus sp. RNAcentral describes it as "bacterial SSU rRNA". It matches the Rfam family "Bacterial small subunit ribosomal RNA", at positions 8 to 1033 of the family's 1533-position model. Lineage: Bacteria; Bacillati; Bacillota; Bacilli; Lactobacillales; Enterococcaceae. The record is from RNAcentral.